AUGCAUGUCUAAGCACAUACCUUAACACGGUGAAGCUGCGAAUGGCUCAUUAGAUCGGCUAUUAUUUAUUAGAUCAUACCAAGUUACUUGGAUAACUGUGGUAAUUCUAGAGCUAAUACAUGCGACACGGCUCCGACCUUCGGGGAAGAGCGAGUUUAUUAGAUCAAAACCAAUCGGGCCUCGGCUCGAGAGUUGGUGACUCUGGAUAACUUCGAUCUGAUCGCAGGGCCUUGCGCCGGCGACGUAUCUUUCAAGUGUCCGCCCUAUCAACUUUCGUCGGUAAGUGACCUGCUUACCGAGGUUGUGACGGGUAACGGGGAAUCAGGGUUCGAUUCCGGAGAGGGAGCAUGAGAAACGGCUACCACA
RNAcentral lists this ribosomal RNA (366 nucleotides) under Aspidosiphon sp. USNM IZ 1448004. RNAcentral's name for it is "SSU rRNA". It matches the Rfam family "Eukaryotic small subunit ribosomal RNA", at positions 51 to 414 of the family's 1831-position model. Lineage: Eukaryota; Metazoa; Annelida; Sipuncula; Aspidosiphonidormes; Aspidosiphonidae. The record is from RNAcentral.